AAUUAAUAAGCUAUGCUAAAAGCAUAUAUUUUGAAAAUAUAGAAAAGAAUAAAUUAUUCUAUUAAUUU
This 68-nucleotide transfer RNA is filed under the name Triaenodes qinglingensis. RNAcentral's name for it is "tRNA-Ser". Lineage: Eukaryota; Metazoa; Arthropoda; Insecta; Trichoptera; Leptoceridae. The record is from RNAcentral.